RNAcentral lists this ribosomal RNA (308 nucleotides) under uncultured bacterium. RNAcentral's name for it is "bacterial SSU rRNA". It matches the Rfam family "Bacterial small subunit ribosomal RNA", at positions 107 to 418 of the family's 1533-position model. The record is from RNAcentral.
UGAGUAAUGCGUCGGAACGCGCCGAGUAGUGGGGGAUAACGUAGCGAAAGCUGUGCUAAUACCGCAUACGUACUGAGGUAGAAAGUGGGGGACCUUCGGGCCUCACGCUAUUCGAGCGGCCGACGUCUGAUUAGCUAGUUGGUGGGGUAAAGGCCCACCAAGGCGACGAUCAGUAGCGGGUCUGAGAGGAUGAUCCGCCACACUGGGACUGAGACACGGCCCAGACUCCUACGGGAGGCAGCAGUGGGGAAUUUUGGACAAUGGGCGCAAGCCUGAUCCAGCCACGCCGCGUGUCUGAAGAAGGCCUU